Daucus carota subsp. sativus is the source of this 783-nucleotide long non-coding RNA. RefSeq lists it as uncharacterized. The transcript is spliced from 2 exons. The record is from RefSeq and is a predicted model, not a curated record. Lineage: Eukaryota; Viridiplantae; Streptophyta; Magnoliopsida; Apiales; Apiaceae.
AGCGGUCACUCAAAGGACUCGCUCACGUUAACUCCGUUUGACAAUCUUUUGCACAUAAUCAUAAAUUGGUUGGCAAAAUCUCAGUUCACGUUAAAUUUAUCUUGCUACUACCAUACACUCUGUGUGUGUACACCGCAAUUCGAGAUUAAUUACAUGAAGAAAUUUUUCUCCGAACUAAAAUUAUGUUACGGUGGUGGCAGCAAUACCGAUUCAACAGCGGAGGAUACCACCAUGACUCUGCCGCAACCAGAGAAGGUGGUGCCUCUGUCCAUUUAUUAUGCAACCGGCAAGAAGGAGAUUGAUACUUAUGCAAGCUCUGGAAAGAUUAGCAGGCGUUUGAAGAAGUUGCACUCGGCUGCAAACUGGAAGCCCGUUCUUUCGGAUAUUUUGGAGAAUAAUGUCAUCGUCUCCGAUGUUGCUUUCCCGAGAACUCGUAAACAGACGACCGUGGUAAGAUCGGAGGUUAAAGCGUCCGGCAAGCGUAAAUCUGCAGGCUCGUCGGCUUCUUUUUAUAGUGAUAAAUACAGGAAAUCAACGGACCCAGCUUCGCUCCCAGCAUUCUCCCCCACCCCGUAUGUAUUUUAAGCCAGGCGUUGCAUGUUCAAAUUAUGAAUGGCUCAUACUUUCUCUUCAAAUAAUCCAAAUGGAUUAUUCAUCUGUAUCAUAUUAUCGUUGAUUUUCGAACUUAUUGGUUCGUCAUAAAAUGUAUGUACCUUAAUGUAUGGUGCUUUAAGACUAUAACUGUUUACGGUUCUUAUUCUUUAUGAAUUGGAAUUUCAUUAA